RNAcentral lists this ribosomal RNA (253 nucleotides) under uncultured prokaryote. Its description in RNAcentral is "partial 16S ribosomal RNA". It matches the Rfam family "Bacterial small subunit ribosomal RNA", at positions 524 to 776 of the family's 1533-position model. The record is from RNAcentral.
UACGAAGGGGGCAAGCGUUGUUCGGAAUUAUUGGGCGUAAAGGGCGCGUAGGCGGUGCCACAAGUCACCUGUGAAAUCCCCGGGCUUAACUCGGGGCCUGCAGGCGAAACUGUGGUGCUGGAGUAUGGGAGAGGUGCGUGGAAUUCCCGGUGUAGCGGUGAAAUGCGUUGAUAUCGGAAGGAACGCCGGUGGCGAAAGCGGGCUGCUGGACCCUUUCUGACGCUGAUGCGCGAAAGCCAGGGGAGCAAACGGG